UAAAGGAAGCGAUUCCGGCUACGGAUGGGCAUGCGGCGCAUUAGCUAGUCGGCGGGGUAACGGCCCACCGAGGCGACGAUGCGUAGGGGUUCUGAGAGGAAGGUCCCCCACACUGGUACUGAGACACGGACCAGACUCCUACGGGAGGCAGCAGUGAGGAAUAUUGGUCAAUGGGCGAGAGCCUGAACCAGCCAAGUCGCGUGAGGGAAGACGGUCCUAUGGAUUGUAAACCUCUUUUGUCGGGGAGCAAAAAGGCCUCGUGAGGCCGUAAAUGAGAGUACCCGAAGAAAAAGCAUCGGCUAACUCCGUGCCAGCAGCCGCGGUAAUACGGAGGAUGCGAGCGUUAUCCGGAUUUAUUGGGUUUAAAGGGUGCGUAGGCGGACUGGAAAGUCAGCGGUAAAAUCGAGAGGCUCAACCUCUUUCCGCCGUUGAAACUGUCGGUCUUGAGUGGGCGAGAAGUAUGCGGAAUGCGUGGUGUAGCGGUGAAAUGCAUAGAUAUCACGCAGAACUCCGAUUGCGAAGGCAGCAUACCGGCGCCCGACUGACGCUGAGGCACGAAAGCGUGGGUAUCGAACAGGAUUAGAUACCCUGGUAGUCCACGCAGUAAACGAUGAAUACUAAUUGUCCGGUCAGAAUGACGACUGG
Molecule: ribosomal RNA, 645 nt
Filed under: uncultured bacterium
Lineage: Bacteria
Description: bacterial SSU rRNA
Rfam family: Bacterial small subunit ribosomal RNA
Source: RNAcentral